This 1105-nucleotide ribosomal RNA is filed under the name Bacillus sp. OTB84. Its description in RNAcentral is "bacterial SSU rRNA". It matches the Rfam family "Bacterial small subunit ribosomal RNA", at positions 371 to 1467 of the family's 1533-position model. Lineage: Bacteria; Bacillati; Bacillota; Bacilli; Caryophanales; Bacillaceae. The record is from RNAcentral.
AUGGACGAAAGUCUGACGGAGCAACGCCGCGUGAGUGAUGAAGGUUUUCGGAUCGUAAAACUCUGUUGUUAGGGAAGAACAAGUGCGAGAGUAACUGCUCGCACCUUGACGGUACCUAACCAGAAAGCCACGGCUAACUACGUGCCAGCAGCCGCGGUAAUACGUAGGUGGCAAGCGUUGUCCGGAAUUAUUGGGCGUAAAGCGCGCGCAGGCGGUUUCUUAAGUCUGAUGUGAAAGCCCCCGGCUCAACCGGGGAGGGUCAUUGGAAACUGGGAAACUUGAGUGCAGAAGAGGAGAGUGGAAUUCCACGUGUAGCGGUGAAAUGCGUAGAGAUGUGGAGGAACACCAGUGGCGAAGGCGACUCUCUGGUCUGUAACUGACGCUGAGGCGCGAAAGCGUGGGGAGCGAACAGGAUUAGAUACCCUGGUAGUCCACGCCGUAAACGAUGAGUGCUAAGUGUUAGAGGGUUUCCGCCCUUUAGUGCUGCAGCUAACGCAUUAAGCACUCCGCCUGGGGAGUACGGUCGCAAGACUGAAACUCAAAGGAAUUGACGGGGGCCCGCACAAGCGGUGGAGCAUGUGGUUUAAUUCGAAGCAACGCGAAGAACCUUACCAGGUCUUGACAUCCUUUGCCACUUCUAGAGAUAGAAGGUUCCCCUUCGGGGGACAAAGUGACAGGUGGUGCAUGGUUGUCGUCAGCUCGUGUCGUGAGAUGUUGGGUUAAGUCCCGCAACGAGCGCAACCCUUGAUCUUAGUUGCCAGCAUUCAGUUGGGCACUCUAAGGUGACUGCCGGUGACAAACCGGAGGAAGGUGGGGAUGACGUCAAAUCAUCAUGCCCCUUAUGACCUGGGCUACACACGUGCUACAAUGGAUGGUACAAAGGGCUGCGAGACCGCGAGGUUUAGCCAAUCCCAUAAAACCAUUCUCAGUUCGGAUUGCAGGCUGCAACUCGCCUGCAUGAAGCUGGAAUCGCUAGUAAUCGCGGAUCAGCAUGCCGCGGUGAAUACGUUCCCGGGCCUUGUACACACCGCCCGUCACACCACGAGAGUUUGCAACACCCGAAGUCGGUGGGGUAACCGCAAGGAGCCAGCCGCCUAAGGUGGGG